UACGGAGGGUGCGAGCGUUGUCCGGAAUCACUGGGCGUAAAGGGCGCGUAGGUGGCGCGAGCAGUCCGUGGUGAAAGCCCGAGGCUCAACUUCGGGUCGGCCGCGGAUACUCUCGGGCUGGAGGGUGGUAGAGGCCAAUGGAAUUCCGGGUGUAGCGGUGGAAUGCGUAGAGAUCCGGAAGAACACCGGUGGCGAAGGCGGUUGGCUGGGCCACACCUGACACUGAGGCGCGACAGCGUGGGGAG
This 245-nucleotide ribosomal RNA is filed under the name uncultured bacterium. Its description in RNAcentral is "partial 16S ribosomal RNA". It matches the Rfam family "Bacterial small subunit ribosomal RNA", at positions 524 to 768 of the family's 1533-position model. The record is from RNAcentral.